Molecule: ribosomal RNA, 380 nt
Filed under: uncultured eukaryote
Lineage: Eukaryota
Description: partial 18S ribosomal RNA
Rfam family: Eukaryotic small subunit ribosomal RNA
Source: RNAcentral
CAAUAGCGUAUAUUAAAGUUGUUGCGGUUAAAAAGCUCGUAGUUGGAUUUCUGCUGAGAACGACCGGUCCGCCCUUUGGGUGUGUAUCUGGCUCUUUCUUGGCAUCUUCUUGGUGAACGUUGCUGCACUUGACUGUGUGGAGCGCUACCCAGGACUUUUACUUUGAGGAAAUUAGAGUGUUUCAAGCAGGCAUACGCCUUGAAUACAUUAGCAUGGAAUAAUAAGAUAGGACCUCGGUUCUAUUUUGUUGGUUUCUAGAGCUGAGGUAAUGAUUAAUAGGGAUAGUUGGGGGCAUUCGUAUUUAACUGUCAGAGGUGAAAUUCUUGGAUUUUUUAAAGACGGACUACUGCGAAAGCAUUUGCCAAGGAUGUUUUCAUUGA